UACGGGGGGAGCUAGCGUUGUUCGGAUUUACUGGGCGUAAAGGGCGCGUAGGCGGCCAGUACAAGCCAGUUGUGAAAUCUCGGAGCUUAACUCCGAAACUGCAUUCGAUACUGCCGUGCUCGAGGACUGGAGAGGAGACUGGAAUUUACGGUGUAGCGGUGAAAUGCGUAGAUAUCGUAAGGAAGACCAGUGGCGAAGGCGGGUCUCUGGACAGUUCCUGACGCUGAGGCACGAAGGUCAGGGGAGCAAACGGG
RNAcentral lists this ribosomal RNA (254 nucleotides) under uncultured bacterium. RNAcentral describes it as "partial 16S ribosomal RNA". It matches the Rfam family "Bacterial small subunit ribosomal RNA", at positions 524 to 776 of the family's 1533-position model. The record is from RNAcentral.